RNAcentral lists this small RNA (179 nucleotides) under Pseudomonas asturiensis. RNAcentral's name for it is "Pseudomonas sRNA P1". It matches the Rfam family "Pseudomonas sRNA P1". From Rfam's summary of the family: There appears to be two related copies of P1 sRNA in the P.aeruginosa PA01 genome and both copies appear to be located upstream of predicted glutamine synthetase genes. This sRNA appears to be conserved amongst several Pseudomonas species. The record is from RNAcentral. Lineage: Bacteria; Pseudomonadati; Pseudomonadota; Gammaproteobacteria; Pseudomonadales; Pseudomonadaceae.
ACCCCCGGUAUUAUUGAUUUAUGGGUUGCAAUCGAGCUUAGUCGUGUUCAUUUUUUUAUACAACAACCCGUUAAAAAUAAAAGACAGGCCGCUCUAGCUCCAAUUUAACAACGGCUUCAGCUUGAAUAAAACGCCCCAAAUGGCAGCAAAAAAGACUGUUUUGCGCCGUUUCAGGGCAG